RNAcentral lists this ribosomal RNA (492 nucleotides) under uncultured bacterium. RNAcentral describes it as "partial 16S ribosomal RNA". It matches the Rfam family "Bacterial small subunit ribosomal RNA", at positions 29 to 507 of the family's 1533-position model. The record is from RNAcentral.
AGCGAACGCUGGCGGUAGGCCUAACACAUGCAAGUCGAACGGCAGCACAGUAAUAGCUUGCUCUUACGGGUGGCGAGUGGCGGACGGGUGAGUAAUACAUCGGAAUCUACUUUUUCGUGGGGGAUAACGUAGGGAAACUUACGCUAAUACCGCAUACGACCUACGGGUGAAAGCAGGGGAUCUUCGGACCUUGCGCGAUUGAAUGAGCCGAUGUCGGAUUAGCUAGUUGGCGGGGUAAAGGCCCACCAAGGCGACGAUCCGUAGCUGGUCUGAGAGGAUGGUCAGCCACACUGGAAGUGAGACACGGUCCAGACUCCUACGGGAGGCAGCAGUGGGGAAUAUUAGGCAAUGGGCGCGAGCCUGAUCCAGCCAUACCGCGUGAGUGAAGAAGGCCUUCGGGUUGUAAAGCCAUUUUGUUGGGAAAGAAAAACAGCAGGUUAAUACCCCGCUGUUCUGACGGUACCAAAAGAAGAAGCACCGGCUAACUUCGUG